GAUCACCAACAUACCACCCUGAACAUACUAAUCUCAUCUGAUUUUGAAAGCUAAGCAGGGUUGAGCCUGGUUACUAUUUGGAUGGGAGGCUCUGAGGUAAUAAGGAUUCUGCUUGAAACCCUGGAGAGUCGUUACCA
Molecule: ribosomal RNA, 137 nt
Filed under: Pogona vitticeps (central bearded dragon)
Lineage: Eukaryota; Metazoa; Chordata; Lepidosauria; Squamata; Agamidae
Source: RNAcentral